AAGACUGGGAUAACUCCGGGAAACCGGGGCUAAUACCGGAUGCUUGUUUGAACCGCAUGGUUCAAACAUAAAAGGUGGCUUCGGCUACCACUUACAGAUGGACCCGCGGCGCAUUAGCUAGUUGGUGAGGUAAUGGCUCACCAAGGCAACGAUGCGUAGCCGACCUGAGAGGGUGAUCGGCCACACUGGGACUGAGACACGGCCCAGACUCCUACGGGAGGCAGCAGUAGGGAAUCUUCCGCAAUGGACGAAAGUCUGACGGAGCAACGCCGCGUGAGUGAUGAAGGUUUUCGGAUCGUAAAGCUCUGUUGUUAGGGAAGAACAAGUACCGUUCGAAUAGGGCGGUACCUUGACGGUACCUAACCAGAAAGCCACGGCUAACUACGUGCCAGCAGCCGCGGUAAUACGUAGGUGGCAAGCGUUGUCCGGAAUUAUUGGGCGUAAAGGGCUCGCAGGCGGUUUCUUAAGUCUGAUGUGAAAGCCCCCGGCUCAACCGGGGAGGGUCAUUGGAAACUGGGGAACUUGAGUGCAGAAGAGGAGAGUGGAAUUCCACGUGUAGCGGUGAAAUGCGUAGAGAUGUGGAGGAACACCAGUGGCGAAGGCGACUCUCUGGUCUGUAACUGACGCUGAGGAGCGAAAGCGUGGGGAGCGAACAGGAUUAGAUACCCUGGUAGUCCACGCCGUAAACGAUGAGUGCUAAGUGUUAGGGGGUUUCCGCCCCUUAGUGCUGCAGCUAACGCAUUAAGCACUCC
Molecule: ribosomal RNA, 752 nt
Filed under: Bacillus spizizenii
Lineage: Bacteria; Bacillati; Bacillota; Bacilli; Caryophanales; Bacillaceae
Description: bacterial SSU rRNA
Rfam family: Bacterial small subunit ribosomal RNA
Source: RNAcentral